GAGUGCGAUCAUACCAGCACUAAUGCACCGGAUCCGAUCAGAACUCCGCAGCUAAGCGUGCUUGGGCGAGAGUAGUACUAGGAUGGGUGACCUCCUGGGAAGUCCUCGUGUUGCACCCC
RNAcentral lists this ribosomal RNA (119 nucleotides) under Arabis alpina (gray rockcress). Lineage: Eukaryota; Viridiplantae; Streptophyta; Magnoliopsida; Brassicales; Brassicaceae. The record is from RNAcentral.